Molecule: ribosomal RNA, 499 nt
Filed under: uncultured bacterium
Lineage: Bacteria
Description: partial 16S ribosomal RNA
Rfam family: Bacterial small subunit ribosomal RNA
Source: RNAcentral
GAUGAACGCUGGCGGCGUGCCUAAUACAUGCAAGUCGAGCGAACAGACGAGAGUGCUUGCACUCUCUGACGUUAGCGGCGGACGGGUGAGUAACACGUGUGUAACCUACCUAUAAGACGGGGAUAACUUCGGGAAACCGGAGCUAAUACCGGAUAAUAUUUAGCUUCGCAUGAAGCAAUAGUGAAAGACGGUUCUGCUGUCACUUAUAGAUGGACCCGCGGUGUAUUAGCUAGUUGGUGAGGUAACGGCUCACCAAGGCAACGAUACAUAGCCGACCUGAGAGGGUGAUCGGCCACACUGGAACUGAGACACGGCCCAGACUCCUACGGGAGGCAGCAGUAGGGAAUCUUCCGCAAUGGACGAAAGUCUGACGGAGCAAUGCCGCGUGAGUGAAGAAGGUUUUCGGAUCGUAAAACUCUGUUGUAAGGGAAGAACAAGUACGUUAGUAACUGAACGUGCCUUGACGGUACCUUACCAGAAAGCCACGGCUAACUACGUG